UUGUGGCACCUGGAGGCCCAGGACGGUUGAACUACAUUCCACAAUUCCUCUUCAUUACUGGGUUUUGCUUCAGAAACCGCAUUUAGGAUGUCACCUCACCAGUGUUCUAUGGGAUUAAGGUCCGGG
Long non-coding RNA from Etheostoma spectabile (orangethroat darter), 126 nucleotides. RefSeq lists it as uncharacterized. Lineage: Eukaryota; Metazoa; Chordata; Actinopteri; Perciformes; Percidae. The record is from RefSeq and is a predicted model, not a curated record. The transcript has 3 exons.